CACAAUGACUCUCGGCAACGGAUAUCUCGGCUCUUGCAUCGAUGAAGAACGUAGCGAAAUGCGAUACUUGGUGUGAAUUGCAGAAUCCCGUGAACCAUCGAGUCUUUGAACGCAAGUUGCGCUCGAAGCCAUUAGGCUGAGGGCACGCCUGCCUGGGUGUCACA
RNAcentral lists this ribosomal RNA (164 nucleotides) under Sesbania tomentosa (Oahu riverhemp). RNAcentral describes it as "5.8S ribosomal RNA". It matches the Rfam family "5.8S ribosomal RNA". Rfam says of the family: 5.8S ribosomal RNA (5.8S rRNA) is a component of the large subunit of the eukaryotic ribosome. It is transcribed by RNA polymerase I as part of the 45S precursor that also contains 18S and 28S rRNA. Functionally, it is thought that 5.8S rRNA may be involved in ribosome translocation. The record is from RNAcentral. Lineage: Eukaryota; Viridiplantae; Streptophyta; Magnoliopsida; Fabales; Fabaceae.